This 259-nucleotide ribosomal RNA is filed under the name uncultured bacterium. RNAcentral's name for it is "partial 16S ribosomal RNA". It matches the Rfam family "Bacterial small subunit ribosomal RNA", at positions 32 to 271 of the family's 1533-position model. The record is from RNAcentral.
AAUCAACGCUGGCGGCGUGCCUAACACAUGCAAGUCGAACGAGAAGGUGACUUCGGUCACUGGAUAGUGGCGUCCGGGUGAGUAACACGUAGGUAGUCUACCUUCGGGUGGGGAAUAACGUCUCGAAAGAGACGCUAAUACCGCAUAAUGCAGCGGCACCUAAUGGUGAUUAGUUGUUAAAGCGGGGGAGUCUUCGGACCUCGCGCCUGAAGAGGAGCCUGCGGCAGAUUAGCUAGUUGGUGAGGUAAUGGCUCACCAA